RNAcentral lists this ribosomal RNA (705 nucleotides) under Triticum aestivum (bread wheat). RNAcentral's name for it is "partial small subunit ribosomal RNA". The record is from RNAcentral. Lineage: Eukaryota; Viridiplantae; Streptophyta; Magnoliopsida; Poales; Poaceae.
AUGAAAAAAAAGAAAGCAUUGCCUUCUUUACUAUAUCUUGUAUUUAUCGUACUUUUGCCUUGGGGGGUCUCUUCCUCAUUUAACAAAUGUCUGGAACUUUGGAUUAAGAAUUGGUGGAAUACCAGGCAAUCCGAAACUCUCUUAACUGAUAUUCAAGAGAAAAGGAUUCUGGAAAGAUUCAUAGAAUUAGAAGAACUUUCUCUCUUGGACGAGAUGAUAAAAGGGAAACUAAAGACACAUGUACAAAAACCUCCUACAGGAAUACACAAGGAAAUAAUACAAUGGGUCAAAAUAAAUAAUGAGGAUCAUCUCCAUACCAUUUUGCAUUUCUCGACAAAUAUAAUCUGUUUGGCUAUUCUAAGUGGUUCUUUUUUUCUGGGUAAAGAGGAACUUGUCAUUUUGAAUUCUUGGGUUCAGGAAUUCUUCUAUAAUUUAAAUGACUCAAUAAAAGCUUUUUUUAUUCUUUUAGUUACUGAUUUUUUUGUUGGAUUUCACUCCACCCGUGGUUGGGAACUAGUAAUUCGUUGGGUCUACAACGAUUUUGGAUGGGCUCCUAACGAGCUUAUUUUCACUAUUUUUGUUUGUAGUUUUCCAGUAAUUCUAGAUACAUGUUUGAAAUUUUGGGUCUUUUUUUGUUUAAACCGUNNNNNNNNNNACUUUGGAUUAAGAAUUGGUGGAAUACCAGGCAAUCCGAAACUCUCUUAA